UCUAACAUGUGCGCGAGUCAAUGGGUCCUCUCAAAACCCAGAGGCGCAAUGAAACGUGAAGGCAGCUCAGCUGCCUUCGUGACGCGCUGUUGCUUUCCCGGGACUCGUCCAGGGUCCGAUGAAGGGAGCAGCAACGGCGACUCGCCCCACAGCUAGCUCACGUCGUGGACGACGUGAGCUAGCUCUAGAGCACACGUUGGA
RNAcentral lists this ribosomal RNA (201 nucleotides) under Ixodes pacificus (western blacklegged tick). RNAcentral's name for it is "partial 28S ribosomal RNA". Lineage: Eukaryota; Metazoa; Arthropoda; Arachnida; Ixodida; Ixodidae. The record is from RNAcentral.